UGGGGAAUAUUGCACAAUGGGCGCAAGCCUGAUGCAGCCAUGCCGCGUGUAUGAAGAAGGCCUUCGGGUUGUAAAGUACUUUCAGCGGGGAGGAAGGCGAUAAGGUUAAUAACCUUGUCUAUUGACGUUACCCGCAGAAGAAGCACCGGCUAACUCCGUGCCAGCAGCCGCGGUAAUACGGAGGGUGCAAGCGUUAAUCGGAAUUACUGGGCGUAAAGCGCACGCAGGCGGUCUGUCAAGUCGGAUGUGAAAUCCCCGGGCUCAACCUGGGAACUGCAUUCGAAACUGGCAGGCUAGAGUCUUGUAGAGGGGGGUAGAAUUCCAGGUGUAGCGGUGAAAUGCGUAGAGAUCUGGAGGAAUACCGGUGGCGAAGGCGGCCCCCUGGACAAAGACUGACGCUCAGGUGCGAAAGCGUGGGGAGCAAACA
RNAcentral lists this ribosomal RNA (427 nucleotides) under uncultured bacterium. RNAcentral's name for it is "partial 16S ribosomal RNA". It matches the Rfam family "Bacterial small subunit ribosomal RNA", at positions 355 to 774 of the family's 1533-position model. The record is from RNAcentral.